GGUAAAUUAUUAAAUUAAUAUUAUUUAGGUGCUAUAUUGUUCUUUGAGGGCAAAAAGUAUCCCAAACAGUAGGCUAUAGAGUUAUCAUGGCAGACAUGGCAUGUAGCGCUACCUAAUUUAGCCUAAAUACACAACUGGAACAAAAGCAAGUCACAAACUCUGUAACUCCACAUCACGGUUUUAUUU
Molecule: long non-coding RNA, 186 nt
Organism: Alosa sapidissima (American shad)
Lineage: Eukaryota; Metazoa; Chordata; Actinopteri; Clupeiformes; Clupeidae
Exons: 3
Source: RefSeq, a predicted model, not a curated record